Molecule: ribosomal RNA, 468 nt
Filed under: uncultured bacterium
Lineage: Bacteria
Description: partial 16S ribosomal RNA
Rfam family: Bacterial small subunit ribosomal RNA
Source: RNAcentral
GACGAACGCUGGCGGCGUGCUUAACACAUGCAAGUCGAACGGAAAGGCCCUGCUUUUGUGGGGUGCUCGAGUGGCGAACGGGUGAGUAACACGUGAGUAACCUGCCCUUGACUUUGGGAUAACUUCAGGAAACUGGGGCUAAUACCGGAUAGGAGCUCCUGCUGCAUGGUGGGGGUUGGAAAGUUUCGGCGGUUGGGGAUGGACUCGCGGCUUAUCAGCUUGUUGGGGGGGUAGUGGUUUACCAAGGCUUUGACGGGUAGCCGGCCUGGGAGGGUGACCGGCCACAUUGGGACUGAGAUACGGCCCAGACUGCUACGGGAGGCAGCAGUGGGGAAUAUUGCGCAGUGGGCGGGAGCCUGAUGCAGCAACGCCGCGUGCGGGAUGACCGCCUUCGAGUUGUAAACCGCUUUCGCCGGUGACGAAGCGUGAGUGACGGUAAUGGGUCAGGAAGCACCGGCUAACUACGUG